AGUGAACGCUGGCGGUAGGCCUAACACAUGCAAGUCGAACGGCAGCACAGUAAGAGCUUGCUCUUACGGGUGGCGAGUGGCGGACGGGUGAGGAAUACAUCGGAAUCUACUUUCUCGUGGGGGAUAACGUAGGGAAACUUACGCUAAUACCGCAUACGACCUACGGGUGAAAGCAGGGGAUCUUCGGACCUUGCGCGAUUGAAUGAGCCGAUGUCGGAUUAGCUAGUUGGCGGGGUAAAGGCCCACCAAGGCGACGAUCCGUAGCUGGUCUGAGAGGAUGAUCAGCCACACUGGAACUGAGACACGGUCCAGACUCCUACGGGAGGCAGCAGUGGGGAAUAUUGGACAAUGGGCGCAAGCCUGAUCCAGCCAUACCGCGUGGGUGAAGAAGGCCUUCGGGUUGUAAAGCCCUUUUGUUGGGAAAGAAAAGCAGCAGGUUAAUACCCCGCUGUUAUGACGGUACCCAAAGAAUAAGCACCGGCUAACUUCGUG
Molecule: ribosomal RNA, 492 nt
Filed under: uncultured bacterium
Lineage: Bacteria
Description: partial 16S ribosomal RNA
Rfam family: Bacterial small subunit ribosomal RNA
Source: RNAcentral